GAUGAACGCUGGCGGCGUGCCUAAUACAUGCAAGUCGAGCGAACAGACGAGGAGCUUGCUCCUUUGACGUUAGCGGCGGACGGGUGAGUAACACGUGGAUAACCUACCUAUAAGACUGGGAUAACUUCGGGAAACCGGAGCUAAUACCGGAUAACAUGUUGAACCGCAUGGUUCAACAGUGAAAGACGGUCUUGCUGUCACUUAUAGAUGGAUCCGCGCCGCAUUAGCUAGUUGGUAAGGUAACGGCUUACCAAGGCAACGAUGCGUAGCCGACCUGAGAGGGUGAUCGGCCACACUGGAACUGAGACACGGUCCAGACUCCUACGGGAGGCAGCAGUAGGGAAUCUUCCGCAAUGGGCGAAAGCCUGACGGAGCAACGCCGCGUGAGUGAAGAAGGUCUUCGGAUCGUAAAACUCUGUUAUUAGGGAAGAACAAAUGUGUAAGUAACCAUGCACGUCUUGACGGUACCUAAUCAGAAAGCCACGGCUAACUACGUG
RNAcentral lists this ribosomal RNA (497 nucleotides) under uncultured bacterium. RNAcentral's name for it is "partial 16S ribosomal RNA". It matches the Rfam family "Bacterial small subunit ribosomal RNA", at positions 28 to 507 of the family's 1533-position model. The record is from RNAcentral.